Molecule: transfer RNA, 74 nt
Organism: Loxodonta africana (African savanna elephant)
Lineage: Eukaryota; Metazoa; Chordata; Mammalia; Proboscidea; Elephantidae
Rfam family: tRNA
About the family: Transfer RNA (tRNA) molecules are approximately 80 nucleotides in length.
Source: Rfam
GGCCGGUUAUCUCAGUUGGUUAGAGCGUGGUGGUAAUAACGCCAAGGUCGCGGGUUCGAUCCCCGUACGGGCCA